CCAGGUUGAUUCUGCCUGACGUAGACGCUAUUCCCUAAGAUUAACCCAUGCAUGUUUUUGACAUUUGAAAAAUGGACUGCUCAGUAAUACUCACUUUAUUUUAUGUAUAUUUGAAAUUAACUACGUUAAAGUGUAGAUAAGAUGUGUACAGUAAGAGUGAGACCUAUCAGCUAGUUGUUAAGGUAAUGGCUUAACAAGGCAGUGACGGGUAACGGUAUUACUUUGUAAUAUUCCGGAGAAGGAGCCUGAGAGACGGCUACUAAGUCUAAGGAUUGCAGCAGGGGCGAAACUUGACCUAUGGAUUUUAUCUGAGGCAGUUAUGGGAAGUAAUAUUAUAUUGUUUCAUAUUGUAAAAGUAUAUGAGGUGAUUAGUUGGAGGGCAAAUCAAGUGCCAGCAGCCGCGGUAAUACUUGUUCCAAGAGUGUGUAUGAUGAUUGAUGCAGUUAAAAAGUCCGUAGUUUAUUUUUAAGAAGCAAUAUGAGGUGUACUGUAUAGUUGGGAGAAAGAUGAAAUGUGACGACCCUGACUGGACGAACA
RNAcentral lists this ribosomal RNA (537 nucleotides) under Nosema sp. B PSH-2011. RNAcentral describes it as "SSU rRNA". It matches the Rfam family "Microsporidia small subunit ribosomal RNA", at positions 1 to 594 of the family's 1311-position model. Lineage: Eukaryota; Fungi; Microsporidia; Nosematidae. The record is from RNAcentral.